RNAcentral lists this ribosomal RNA (790 nucleotides) under uncultured bacterium. RNAcentral's name for it is "bacterial SSU rRNA". It matches the Rfam family "Bacterial small subunit ribosomal RNA", at positions 8 to 795 of the family's 1533-position model. The record is from RNAcentral.
AGAGUUUGAUCCUGGCUCAGGAUGAACGCUAGCGGCAGGCUUAACACAUGCAAGUCGAGGGGUAACGGGGUAGCAAUACUGCCGACGACCGGCGCACGGGUGAGUAACGCGUAUGCAACCUACCCAUAACAGGGGGAUAGCUUUCGGAAACGGAAAUUAAUACCCUAUAGUAUCUAAAUAUCGCAUGAUAUUAAGAUUAAAGUUACGACGGUUAUGGAUGGGCAUGCGUGCCAUUAGCUAGUUGGUGAGGUAACGGCUCACCAAGGCAACGAUGGCUAGGGGUUCUAAAAGGAUGAUCCCCCACACUGGUACUGAGACACGGACCAGACUCCUACGGGAGGCAGCAGUGAGGAAUAUUGGUCAAUGGGCGCAAGCCUGAACCAGCCAUGCCGCGUGCAGGAAGACAGCCCUACGGGUUGUAAACUGCUUUUAUAUGGGAAGAAAACGUUCUACGUGUAGAACACUGACGGUACCAUAAGAAUAAGCACCGGCUAACUCCGUGCCAGCAGCCGCGGUAAUACGGAGGGUGCAAGCGUUAUCCGGAUUUAUUAGGUUUAAAGGGUGUGUAGGCGGGAGUCUAAGUCAGUGGUGAAAUCUCACAGCUUAACUGUGAAACUGCCAUUGAAACUGGAUUUCUUGAGUAUAGUUGAGGUAGGCGGAAUGUGUAAUGUAGCGGUGAAAUGCUUAGAUAUUACACAGAACACCGAUUGCGAAGGCAGCUUACUAAGCUAUUACUGACGCUGAUGCACGAAAGCGUGGGGAGCGAACAGGAUUAGAUACCCUGGUAGUC